This 207-nucleotide ribosomal RNA is filed under the name Pentapodus trivittatus. Its description in RNAcentral is "partial 16S ribosomal RNA". The record is from RNAcentral. Lineage: Eukaryota; Metazoa; Chordata; Actinopteri; Spariformes; Nemipteridae.
GCCCACCAGCUAGCCUAAUAACCUAAAAACAACAAACCACAUUAAUAACCCCAAAAACACUAACCCUACUAAAACAAAUCAUUUUUCCGCUCUAGUAUGUGCGACAGAAAAAGAUCCUUGAGCAAUAGAAAAAGUACCGCAAGGGAAAGCUGAAAGAGAAAUGAAACAACUCAAUAAAGCAUAAAAAAGCAGAGCUUACCCCUCGUA